AACGAACGCCGGCGGCAGGCUUAACACAUGCAAGUCGAGCGCAUCCUUCGGGGUGAGCGGCGGACGGGUGAGUAACGCGUGGGAACGUGCCCUCUUCUACGGAAUAGCCUCGGGAAACUGAGAGUAAUGCCGUAUACGCCCGCAAGGGGAAAGAUUUAUCGGAGGAGGAUCGGCCCGCGUUGGAUUAGGUAGUUGGUGGGGUAACGGCCUACCAAGCCGACGAUCCAUAGCUGGUUUGAGAGGAUGAUCAGCCACACUGGGACUGAGACACGGCCCAGACUCCUACGGGAGGCAGCAGUGGGGAAUCUUGGACAAUGGGGGCAACCCUGAUCCAGCCAUGCCGCGUGAUCGAUGAAGGCCUUAGGGUUGUAAAGAUCUUUCAGCUGGGAAGAUAAUGACGGUACCAGCAGAAGAAGCCCCGGCUAACUCCGUG
This 433-nucleotide ribosomal RNA is filed under the name uncultured bacterium. RNAcentral's name for it is "partial 16S ribosomal RNA". It matches the Rfam family "Bacterial small subunit ribosomal RNA", at positions 29 to 507 of the family's 1533-position model. The record is from RNAcentral.